Pseudopipra pipra is the source of this 2687-nucleotide RNA transcript. It is a transcript of the gene named chromosome 7 C2orf66 homolog, with no coding region annotated. The record is from RefSeq and is a predicted model, not a curated record. NCBI's taxonomy places the organism in Eukaryota, Metazoa, Chordata, Aves, Passeriformes, Pipridae. The transcript has 4 exons.
AUACAUUUUAAAUUUCUGCCUUUUUGAGGUAAAUUGCAUGGAACUGAACCAGCAAUGCUAUGAGCAUUUUCAGCUUCAGGGCAAUUUAAUUCAAACAUACAUGAAUAUUACUUACUGUGCCAUAAGGGUAAUAUAAUUAGUAUAGACACUCUGAAAAGAUUUGAUUUACUGAAGAUGCGUGUCAAGAAAACGUUAUGCUUAAAUUGGGGUGCAUUUAAAAGGCAGCACACUGACAUCUGGCUUUGAAAGCAUUUGUUAAACUUAGCUGCUGUUCUCAAAGGAGGAUGCAAUUUUGUUCAAUCAGUGUAAGUAUACUAAUAGUAUUUUAAUAUGAAUGUGUUCUGCUUAUUUUUGACUUUCUCUGAAGGAAAGAACUGAGAUUUUAAAAAAAACCAAACCCUGCACAGUAAAAUGAACCAUAAGUCUAAACAGACUUUUAGCUCCAAUAGUUUCUCAGAUUUUUUAGCUGAGGAAGCAACAAUACAAGUGUGUAAGGAUUUUUUUGUUGUUUUUUAAAAGACAGCUCACAGAAGACAUAUGCCAACUGAAUCUCUUGCAUAUCUGCAUACUUCAUCAGUCACCCAGACUGCCUGAAUUCCUGCAGUAAUAAAGCUUGUUUCAAAUUUACAGAUGACUUUGGUAUGUUUUACUAACUGGAUAUACUGUGUAUUCCCCAAUUUGUUCUUUAUAAAGAAAUCAAAGGAAUAAAUUAAUUGAGGGGAAAAAAGGGGCUGUUCUGGCUUUUGUUUCCCCUACCCUCUUCCCAAAGCUAAAUAAGGAAAUAAAAUCUAAUCCCAAACUGUAAACCAUGCCUUUUCCACUUUCUGUCAUUUUCUCUAGAGGAGCAUAUUUCUACUUCUGGCUGAAAUAAGUAUCUACCUAGAAAAUCAAUAAAGGAAGUUCCCUUACAUUGGGUCCUGCCUAUUUAGAAGUUAUUCAGUUGCUACUGCUGUGUUCUUGAUGAGUCCACUAUCUGGAAGUUGGCUGUUAUAAAAAGUAAUUGAUGGAGGUUUGAUGGAUUGUCUUUUUGAGGGCAUGAAUUUUUUUUUUAAUCCAUAGCUGCAGAAUAAUACACAAGCUGGAUAAAUUCUCUUGAAUUUUUAUAUGCUGCUGCAGACAUGAAAAUAAUACUGCUAGCAUUUUGUUUGCUGUUUUGCUAAUGAUGUUUGGAUGUCCAAAACUUUGUCUUCUGGAAGGGUGAUGGUAGGUUUUUGUUUUGCUUUCAAAAUUUAAAACAAAAAUGUAAAGCUUCUAGUCAGAAAUAAACAUCUAUAAUCUGGAUUAAGAUAAUGAUCAAAAAUCUUUAGUUUUAACAUGUCUAUUUAGAGAUAUAUUUUAUGUGAUACCUAAUCAAGUAUCAUGUAUAUAGUGGAGGAAACAGUGUAGUGAAAUUAUAAACAAAAAAUAUGAGCAGCUCGGAUAUGAAGAAUUCUAUGAAAUAAGGCCAGGGUAAAUGAGCAUAGUCCUCCUUGUCUUAGUUUCUAGUCUGAGAGGAGGAUAUUAACUGCUGAUAAAAUCAGAGUAGGAAACCAAUGCUUCCAUUAAAAAGUUAUAAUUUUAGAUAUUGAAACAGACCUUACUUUUCUCUCUCUUUUUUCCAGCAUCAAGAAAAUGAUCCAUAUCUCAUUUGCUUGAGAACCAUUAGUCACCAUUCUAGAGAUAUGGCUAAUUACUUUUAAUUAAAAAUAAUAUUUUGAUACAGCUCUGCUAUCUCUGCUGGAAUUGUUUUAAACUUAUUAUGUUCUUACCACCAAUUUUCUGCAAUACGGCUUAGGAGGAAUUUGUUCGAUAGCAACAUGUCUGAAGAGUAUCAAGGAUGAAAUUCUCAAGGGUCUUUAUGUCAUGGAUGGAAAUGGAAUCAUUACUGUAUUUUUGAACUCCUGCUAACGUCAUUGACACCCACCUACAGUCCACUAGAAAUAUAAGAGCAGAGAUCAGUUUGUUCACAGAUUACGGGCAGACUAACCAAGAAGGGGGCAAGCCAGAGCCAAAUUCACUGACUGCUCAUUUCCAACAUGUGGAAAGUGGUGCUCCUGGGUCUAUACAUAGUGUUGGCUCUGAGAGGAUUGGCAAAGGGUGCUCCUUUCCAGCCAGAAGAAAAAUGGAAACCUCUAGAUAACCCGAGAAACAGAGACCUGUUUUUCAGAACGCUCCAGGCUUAUUUUUCGGGCAGGGGGCUUGAUCUCAGGAAGUUCCCAGCUACUGUCACUGUGAACAGUGAAGGACCAAGGCCUCUCAUGUUCUACGCAGAUCCAAUUGCUUCUGCAUUUGCAGAUUACGAAGAAAGGAAAAAUUCUUUUCCAAAUCAUUUCAAAGGCUGAAAGAUGCUGUUGACCAAGGUAAAAGAGGAGGCCUCGUCCUCUGAUGUUGUUUCAGGCUGUAGAACUUCACACGAAGUGAUAACCUUCACAGCAAAAUUUUACCGCUUUGACUUUUUAAUUGUUACCUGACAGUUCUUCACUGUCACAGUUCCUACCUAUGGAAUGUGAUGUCAUGCUGUAAUUAGCAUAUAUUCGGUCUCUUGACAAAUGUUUGGCUGUUUGGCUGCUGCUCAGCUGUGGGCUGAGUCGGCUGAGCAGAAUUGUGUUUGAGUGUGAAUAAACGAGGAGUGCAACAGAGUGCUUGCGAUUACUGCUAAGUGUCUUUGUGCAAAACUGAGAAAUAAAUGUUAGCUUUCAAUUUAUUAG